GAAAUGCGAUAAGUAAUGUGAAUUGCAGAAUUCAGUGAAUAAUCGAAUCUUUGAACGCACCUUGCGCUCCUUGGUAUUCCUUGGAGCAUGCCUGUUUGAGUAUCAUGAAAUCUUCAAAGUAAAUAUUUUGUUAACUCAAUUGGUUUCUACUUUGGUAUUGGAGGUCUUUGCAGCUUCACACCUGCUCCUCUUUGUUCAUUAGCUGGAUCUCAGUGUUAUGCUUGGUUCCACUCGGCGUGAUAAGUUAUCUAUCGCUGAGGACACUGUAAAAGGUGGCCAAGGUAAAUGCAGAUGAACCGCUUCUAAUAGUCCAUUGACUUGGACAAUACUUUUAUGAUCUGAUCUCAAAUCAGGUAGGACUACCCGCUGAACUUAAGC
This 378-nucleotide unclassified non-coding RNA is filed under the name plant metagenome. Its description in RNAcentral is "partial contains 5.8S ribosomal RNA, internal transcribed spacer 2, and large subunit ribosomal RNA". The stretch from base 1 to 105 matches the Rfam family "5.8S ribosomal RNA", at positions 50 to 154 of the family's 154-position model. The record is from RNAcentral.